This 29-nucleotide non-coding RNA is filed under the name Rattus norvegicus (Norway rat). The record is from RNAcentral. Lineage: Eukaryota; Metazoa; Chordata; Mammalia; Rodentia; Muridae.
UACUUGGAGUAGUGAAAUGAUGUUGGAAU